AGCUAGGUCCUGCGCAAGGGAAGCCGGGAAAUCCGUCAGGUCCGGAAGGAAGCAGCGGUACCGGAACUCUCCCUGUGCCGCAGGGUAGCCUAGCUAUC
RNAcentral lists this signal recognition particle RNA (98 nucleotides) under Desulfurellaceae bacterium. RNAcentral describes it as "signal recognition particle sRNA small type". It matches the Rfam family "Bacterial small signal recognition particle RNA". Rfam says of the family: The signal recognition particle (SRP) is a universally conserved ribonucleoprotein involved in the co-translational targeting of proteins to membranes. The record is from RNAcentral. Lineage: Bacteria; Pseudomonadati; Campylobacterota; Desulfurellia; Desulfurellales; Desulfurellaceae.